Molecule: ribosomal RNA, 292 nt
Filed under: uncultured bacterium
Lineage: Bacteria
Description: partial 16S ribosomal RNA
Rfam family: Bacterial small subunit ribosomal RNA
Source: RNAcentral
GUGCCAGCCGCCGCGGUAAUACGUAGGGGGCUAGCGUUGUCCGGAAUCAUUGGGCGUAAAGCGCGCGUAGGCGGCCCGGUAAGUCCGCUGUGAAAGUCAAAGGCUCAACCUUUGAAUGUCAGCGGAUACUGCCGGGCUAGAGUCCGGAAGAGGCGAGUGGAACUCCUGGUGUAGCGGUGGAAUGCGCAGAUAUCAGGAAGAACACCAACGGCGAAGGCAGCUCGCUGGGACGGAACUGACGCUAAGGCGCGAAAGCGUGGGGAGCGAACAGGAUUAGAUACCCUGGUAGUCC